UGCGCAGGCGGCCUGAUAAGUCAGGGGUGAAAUAUGACGGCUCAACCGUCAAACGGCCCCUGAAACUGCCAGGCUUGAGUCCGGGAGAGGAUGGUGGAAUUCCUGGUGUAGCGGUGAAAUGCGUAAAUAUCAGGAGGAACACCGAUGGCGAAGGCAGCCAUCUGGCCCGGUACUGACGCUCAGGCACGAAAGCUAGGGGAGCGAACAGGAUUAGAUACCCUGGUAGUCC
Molecule: ribosomal RNA, 229 nt
Filed under: uncultured bacterium
Lineage: Bacteria
Description: partial 16S ribosomal RNA
Rfam family: Bacterial small subunit ribosomal RNA
Source: RNAcentral